RNAcentral lists this ribosomal RNA (535 nucleotides) under Escherichia coli. Its description in RNAcentral is "partial 23S ribosomal RNA". It matches the Rfam family "Bacterial large subunit ribosomal RNA", at positions 1273 to 1793 of the family's 2925-position model. The record is from RNAcentral. Lineage: Bacteria; Pseudomonadati; Pseudomonadota; Gammaproteobacteria; Enterobacterales; Enterobacteriaceae.
CUGGAGGUAUCAGAAGUGCGAAUGCUGACAUAAGUAACGAUAAAGCGGGUGAAAAGCCCGCUCGCCGGAAGACCAAGGGUUCCUGUCCAACGUUAAUCGGGGCAGGGUGAGUCGACCCCUAAGGCGAGGCCGAAAGGCGUAGUCGAUGGGAAACAGGUUAAUAUUCCUGUACUUGGUGUUACUGCGAAGGGGGGACGGAGAAGGCUAUGUUGGCCGGGCGACGGUUGUCCCGGUUUAAGCGUGUAGGCUGGUUUUCCAGGCAAAUCCGGAAAAUCAAGGCUGAGGCGUGAUGACGAGGCACUACGGUGCUGAAGCAACAAAUGCCCUGCUUCCAGGAAAAGCCUCUAAGCAUCAGGUAACAUCAAAUCGUACCCCAAACCGACACAGGUGGUCAGGUAGAGAAUACCAAGGCGCUUGAGAGAACUCGGGUGAAGGAACUAGGCAAAAUGGUGCCGUAACUUCGGGAGAAGGCACGCUGAUAUGUAGGUGAAGCGACUUGCUCGUGGAGCUGAAAUCAGUCGAAGAUACCAGCUGG